AGUGAACGCUGGCGGUAGGCCUAACACAUGCAAGUCGAACGGCAGCACAGUAAGAGCUUGCUCUUACGGGUGGCGAGUGGCGGACGGGUGAGGAAUACAUCGGAAUCUACUUUUUCGUGGGGGAUAACGUAGGGAAACUUACGCUAAUACCGCAUACGACCUACGGGUGAAAGCAGGGGAUCUUCGGACCUUGCGCGAUUGAAUGAGCCGAUGUCGGAUUAGCUAGUUGGCGGGGUAAAGGCCCACCAAGGCGACGAUCCGUAGCUGGUCUGAGAGGAUGAUCAGCCACACUGGAACUGAGACACGGUCCAGACUCCUACGGGAGGCAGCAGUGGGGAAUAUUGGACAAUGGGCGCAAGCCUGAUCCAGCCAUACCGCGUGGGUGAAGAAGGCCUUCGGGUUGUAAAGCCCUUUUGUUGGGAAAGAGAAGCAGCAGGUUAAUACCCCGCUGUUCUGACGGUACCAAAAGAAUAAGCACCGGCUAACUUCGUG
RNAcentral lists this ribosomal RNA (492 nucleotides) under uncultured bacterium. RNAcentral describes it as "partial 16S ribosomal RNA". It matches the Rfam family "Bacterial small subunit ribosomal RNA", at positions 29 to 507 of the family's 1533-position model. The record is from RNAcentral.